CUAGUGACAUAAACCAUUACUUUCCUGAACUGAACUUCAAUGCUACCUGGGUCUUCAUUGCCACAUGGAACUGGCUGGAAUAUCAACCAGCAAUGGACAAUGACACCAUGUUCCAGGUUGUUCUGGUCUCAGAUGGGAAUAUGUCAUUUGUCAUGAUGAACUAUGGAAACCUUGCCCCAACUAGUGAAAAUGUCCAGGUUGGAUAUGACUCAUUAAAUUCAUCAAAUUACUUCAGUAUGGCCGAAUCAUUCCAAGGCAACAUCACCGACUUGUC
Long non-coding RNA from Scleropages formosus (Asian bonytongue), 274 nucleotides. RefSeq lists it as uncharacterized. The transcript has 3 exons. The record is from RefSeq and is a predicted model, not a curated record. NCBI's taxonomy places the organism in Eukaryota, Metazoa, Chordata, Actinopteri, Osteoglossiformes, Osteoglossidae.